AGCCGUUGGGGCCUUUGAGGCUUUAGUGGCGCAGCUAACGCGAUAAGUAGACCGCCUGGGGAGUACGGCCGCAAGGCUAAAACUCAAAGGAAUUGACGGGGGCCCGCACAAGCGGCGGAGCAUGUGGAUUAAUUCGAUGCAACGCGAAGAACCUUACCUGGCCUUGACAUACUAGAAACUUUCCAGAGAUGGAUUGGUGCCUUCGGGAAUCUAGAUACAGGUGGUGCAUGGUUGUCGUCAGCUCGUGUCGUGAGAUGUUGGGUUAAGUCCCGCAACGAGCGCAACCCUUGUCUUAUGUUGCCAGCACGUUAUGGUGGGGACUCGCGAGAGACUGCCGGGGUUAACUCGGAGGAAGGUGGGGAUGACGUCAAAUCAUCAUGCCCCUUAUGUCCUGGGCUUCACACAUGCUACAAUGGCCGGUACAAAGGGCUGCGAUACCGUGAGGUGGAGCUAAUCCCUUAAAGCCGGUCUCAGUUCGGAUUGGAGUCUGCAACUCGACUCCAUGAAGUCGGAGUCGCUAGUAAUCGCAGAUCAGAACGCUGCGGUGAAUACGUUCCCGGGCCUUGUACACACCGCCCGUCACACCAUGAGAGUUUGUAACACCAGAAGUGGAUAGUCUAACCCUCGGGAGGACGUUCACCACGGUGUGGCCGAUGACUGGGGUGAAGUCGUAACAAGGUAGCCGUAGGGGAACCUGCGGCUG
This 703-nucleotide ribosomal RNA is filed under the name Heliconius hecale. Its description in RNAcentral is "bacterial SSU rRNA". It matches the Rfam family "Bacterial small subunit ribosomal RNA", at positions 818 to 1520 of the family's 1533-position model. Lineage: Eukaryota; Metazoa; Arthropoda; Insecta; Lepidoptera; Nymphalidae. The record is from RNAcentral.